Molecule: ribosomal RNA, 512 nt
Filed under: uncultured bacterium
Lineage: Bacteria
Description: partial 16S ribosomal RNA
Rfam family: Bacterial small subunit ribosomal RNA
Source: RNAcentral
GAUGAACGCUGGCGGCGUGCCUAAUACAUGCAAGUCGAACGAAACUUCUUUAUCACCGAGUGCUCGCACUCACCGAUAAAGAGUUGAGUGGCGAACGGGUGAGUAACACGUGGGCAACCUGCCCAAAAGAGGGGGAUAACACUUGGAAACAGGUGCUAAUACCGCAUAACCAUAGUUACCGCAUGGUAACUAUGUAAAAGGUGGCUAUACUACCGCUUUUGGAUGGGCCCGCGGCGCAUUAGCUAGUUGGUAGGGUAAAGGCUUACCAAGGCAAUGAUGCGUAGCCGAAUUGAGAGGUUGAUCGGCCACAUUGGGACUGAGACACGGCCCAAACUCCUACGGGAGGCAGCAGUAGGGAAUCUUCCACAAUGGGCGAAAGCCUGAUGGAGCAACGCCGCGUGGGUGAAGAAGGUCUUCGGAUCGUAAAACCCUGUUGUUAGAGAAGAAAGUGCGUGAGAGUAACUGUUCACGUUUCGACGGUAUCUAACCAGAAAGCCACUGCUAACUACGUG